AGUAAAAGAUUAUACGUUGGGUUGACUCGACGCUGAGAAUCCUCACGGUUAUAGUCCUCGGUUUUACGAAUGAACUCGUGUAUACGUGAAAAAUAAUAAGGAUGAACCCACCGAUACAUCUUACGAAAGGAGAAAGCCAAAAGGACAGGAACAAUGGAUAAGGAUGUUCCUGGUGAACAGAGUUAGGAGUUAUUACAAGUGGAAAGAAGCAACACGUGGGUAGUUAUAAAGGUGACGGAUAUUUUUAAACCCCGUAUCAUUUCCAUUGUUAUGGCCGAUAGAGUUUACGGGGGGUUAUGUUUGGUGCGCGAAGUGAAGUUACGUUGCUCUCUGUGGACAAAAGGGAAAUGAGAAUUGGUGUUUGGAUGUAAUUUCGACGGCCUGUGUCGGAGGUACGAUUAUAAAUUAAUCAAGGAGUGGAUAAUGAGUCCUUAGCUUGGACACGGUUGCUGCUCUACGUGGGAGCCACUGAUGUCUCUCCGAGGUCUGGCGCCUCUCUUACAUCUCUUUACACAGUGAAAGAAGAAGCCCCCAGCGGAACCACGUAUCUACAAUACGUAUACCGUGAUUCACACCUACGUCCAUUAAGGCGAAUGUGAUUCUCGUGCAAUUAUACUACCCGAAUAGGUUUGCCAAGUUACGCCAGACCGGAGAUUGCUGCUUUCAUGCUAAGCCUAGGAUUUCCACGAAAACAAAUUAAAAUCCACGUGGAUCGUAAUUAAUCUACGGAAGAUUUAAUCUUGAUCGCACGAAAGAUGCAAAGGGAUUAAUAAUCAAGAGGAGUUACAGCAAUAAUACAGAAGGAUGUUUUCCCUAGGAUUCAUUACGAUAACAGGAAAGGCAAGUUCUUAUGAAGUUUACAUGCUGUUAAAUAUAGAUAUAGAUAUAUGUGUGCACAUAUAUAAAUAUACUGUAAAGCGCAUUCAUUUAGCGCACUAACUAUGAAUAAGUGCUCCACAGGCCGACAUUAUUAAAACACGUGAAACCCGGUAUCUCACGUGGUGUAGCCACCGUGACCACAUAGUAAUAGUAAAAGCGCA
This is a long non-coding RNA of Cephus cinctus (wheat stem sawfly), 1040 nucleotides long. RefSeq lists it as uncharacterized. The record is from RefSeq and is a predicted model, not a curated record. The transcript has 3 exons. NCBI's taxonomy places the organism in Eukaryota, Metazoa, Arthropoda, Insecta, Hymenoptera, Cephidae.